AUUUCCAACAGAUAGAAGUGGCUUCAUCAAUAGAAUGUAGCUGCGAGUCUGCAUAUAGGUAUCAUUCAUACCCAUAAGUAGCUGAUAAACCUUCUGCUCUUCAUCCUCAGCAACUUUCCAUCCACAAGUACAAACUCUGAUCUUGUAGGAUGCAAUCUCAUCCCAGAGUUGGUUAAUUUUGUUAAAAUAUGAGGCUAUGUCUAAAGACACUUGGGAGAUAUGAGCUAAUUCUUUCUUUAGCUCAAAAAUUCUAGCCCCAACGGCUUUACCCUAUCUCUCUUCCAAUUCACACUAAAUUUCUUUGGCAGAUUCAGAAUAUUCAACACUACGAGAUGUCUCUUUUGACAAAGAGCUAAUCAACCAUGAAAGUACAAGAUCAUUACAUCAUUUCCAUUUACGAGCCAGAGGAGACCCAACGUGCUGCUUUGUAGAAGAACCGCUAAUAAAAUCAAUUUUAUUUCUAAUAGAGAGGGAAACUAAAAUAUUUCUCCUCCAGUUGCCAUAGCAAGUGCUAUCAAAUGGACUAGAAAUCAAAUAAGCUCCUAGUAUGUCUGAUGGAUG
Molecule: long non-coding RNA, 561 nt
Filed under: Nicotiana benthamiana
Lineage: Eukaryota; Viridiplantae; Streptophyta; Magnoliopsida; Solanales; Solanaceae
Description: long non-coding RNA (NBEN_LNC032697)
Source: RNAcentral